RNAcentral lists this long non-coding RNA (601 nucleotides) under Androctonus crassicauda. Lineage: Eukaryota; Metazoa; Arthropoda; Arachnida; Scorpiones; Buthidae. The record is from RNAcentral.
CAACAUUGCUAAAACAAUUGUUUGCUAUAUAGAACUCUGUGCUUAUACUACUUUCAAUCACCAUAUUGAAUAAAUUGUAACGCCCUCUAUAGUCAGUUUGAUUUGCGAAUAAUUAUGAACAUUUGAAGCAUUGAAGAUAUGAAGGGCAAACUCACCUUGGGGCAAAAACAUUUUUUCCUUUCUUUCUGCUCCUAUGACACCACAGAAUACGCUGAUAAGUUUUUUGUUAAGUUCAGCCUUCCUAACCCUAUAAAAGCAUGCUUUGGAAAACAGCAGCCAUUGACUAAGUGCCAUAGAGUUGCAGAUACGAAAGGCGAACUCAAUAUCUCAAACCACGUAAUUUCACAUCUCUCCCUCUGCAUUGUUUAUAUGAUGCAAUCUGUCAGUUCUAGUCGUAUCUUGUAAUACUUAUUCAAUAGGGCAGUAAUCUAUAGUGAAUAAUAAUUUUAUUUAAAUUAUGGAGUGUGCAAGUGUCAGAAUAUUCACAAAAAUACCUGGAAACAUUGAAGAAUAUUGAGGCAAAGAAAAAAUGUAAUUCUGGUGAAGAAUGUGUCUCUCGACAGACAAAAAGAUUAGUACUGGCUCAAAAAUUGAGCUACGG